UACGUAGGGGGCAAGCGUUGUCCGGAUUUGUUGGGCGUAAAGAGCGUGUAGGCGGCCAGGUAGGUCAGCUGUGAAAACUCGAGGCUUAACCUCGAGACGCCGGCUGAAACCCUCUGGCUAGAGUCCGGAAGAGGAGAGCGGAAUUCCUGGUGUAGCGGUGAAAUGCGCAGAUAUCAGGAAGAACACCCGUGGCGAAGGCGGCUCUCUGGGACGGUACUGACGCUGAGACGCGAAAGCGUGGGGAGCGAACAGG
Molecule: ribosomal RNA, 253 nt
Filed under: uncultured bacterium
Lineage: Bacteria
Description: partial 16S ribosomal RNA
Rfam family: Bacterial small subunit ribosomal RNA
Source: RNAcentral